RNAcentral lists this transfer RNA (71 nucleotides) under Candidatus Woesearchaeota archaeon. RNAcentral's name for it is "tRNA-Gly". It matches the Rfam family "tRNA". From Rfam's summary of the family: Transfer RNA (tRNA) molecules are approximately 80 nucleotides in length. RNAcentral also lists the same sequence under 1 other name. Lineage: Archaea; Nanobdellati; Candidatus Woesearchaeota. The record is from RNAcentral.
GCGACGGUAGUUUAGUGGUAUAAUACGCCCCUGCCACGGGCGUGACCCGGGUUCGAAUCCCGGCCGUCGCA